UCCGGUUGAUCCCGCCGGAAGCCACUGCUAUGGGGGUCCGACUAAGCCAUGCGAGUCAUGGGGCGCGCUCUGCGCGCACCGGCGGACGGCUCAGUAACACGUCGGUAACCUACCCUCGGGAGGGGGAUAACCCCGGGAAACUGUGGCUAAUCCCCCAUAGGCCUGAGGUACUGGAAGGUCCUCAGGGCGGAAGGGGCAUCUGCCCGCCCGAGGAUGGGCCGGCGGCCGAUUAGGUAGUUGGUGGGGUAACGGCCCACCAAGCCGAAGAUCGGUACGGGCCAUGAGAGUGGGAGCCCGGAGAUGGACACUGAGACACGGGUCCAGGCCCUACGGGGCGCAGCAGGCGCGAAACCUCCCCAAUGCGGGCAACGCGACGGGGGGACCCCCAGUGCCGUGGAAUAGCCACGGCUUUUCCGGAGUGUAAAAAGCUCCGGGAAUAAGGGCUGGGCAAGGGCGGUGGCAGCCGCCGCGGUAAUACCGGCGGCCCGAGUGGUGGCCGCUAUUAUUGGGCCUAAAGCGCCCGUAGCCGGGCCCGUAAGUCCCUGGCGAAAUCCCACGGCUCAACCGUGGGGCUUGCUGGGGAUACUGCGGGCCUUGGGACCGGGAGAGGCCGGGGGUACCCCUGGGGUAGGGGUGAAAUCCUAUAAUCCCAGGGGGACCGCCAGUGGCGAAGGCGCCCGGCUGGAACGGGUCCGACGGUGAGGGACGAAGGCCAGGGGAGCGAACCGGAUUAGAUACCCGGGUAGUCCUGGCUGUAAAGGAUGCGGGCUAGGUGUCGGGCGAGCUUCGAGCUCUCCCGGUGCCGGAGGGAAGCCGUUAAGCCCCCCGCCUGGGGAGUACGGCCGCAAGGCUGAAACUUAAAGGAAUUGGCGGGGGAGCACUACAAGGGGUGGAGCGUGCGGUUUAAUUGGAUUCAACGCCGGG
Molecule: ribosomal RNA, 924 nt
Filed under: Thermococcus peptonophilus
Lineage: Archaea; Methanobacteriati; Methanobacteriota; Thermococci; Thermococcales; Thermococcaceae
Description: bacterial SSU rRNA
Rfam family: Archaeal small subunit ribosomal RNA
Source: RNAcentral